UACAGAGGUCCCGAGCGUUGUUCGGAUUCACUGGGCGUAAAGGGUGCGUAGGUGGUGAGGUAAGUCGGAUGUGAAAGCUCCAAGCUCAACUUGGAAACGGCAUUGGAAACUACCUUGCUAGAGGGUUUGAGGGGGGACUGGAAUACUUGGUGUAGCAGUGAAAUGCGUAGAUAUCAAGUGGAACACCAGUGGCGAAGGCGAGUCCCUGGAAAACUCCUGACACUGAGGCACGAAAGCUAGGGGAGCAAACAGG
This 253-nucleotide ribosomal RNA is filed under the name uncultured bacterium. RNAcentral's name for it is "partial 16S ribosomal RNA". It matches the Rfam family "Bacterial small subunit ribosomal RNA", at positions 524 to 776 of the family's 1533-position model. The record is from RNAcentral.